AGCGAACGCUGGCGGCAGGCCUAAUACAUGCAAGUCGAACGCACCUUCGGGUGAGUGGCGGACGGGUGAGUAACGCGUGGGAACGUGCCCUUUGGUUCGGAACAACACAGGGAAACUUGUGCUAAUACCGAAUGUGCCCUUCGGGGGAAAGAUUUAUCGCCAUUGGAGCGGCCCGCGUUGGAUUAGCUAGUUGGUAGGGUAAAAGCCUACCAAGGCUACGAUCCAUAGCUGGUCUGAGAGGAUGAUCAGCCACACUGGGACUGAGACACG
RNAcentral lists this ribosomal RNA (270 nucleotides) under uncultured bacterium. Its description in RNAcentral is "partial 16S ribosomal RNA". It matches the Rfam family "Bacterial small subunit ribosomal RNA", at positions 29 to 328 of the family's 1533-position model. The record is from RNAcentral.